Molecule: unclassified non-coding RNA, 223 nt
Filed under: plant metagenome
Description: partial contains small subunit ribosomal RNA, internal transcribed spacer 1, and 5.8S ribosomal RNA
Source: RNAcentral
UUUCCGUAGGUGAACCUGCGGAAGGAUCAUUAUCAUGUAAUUCAGUCCCCUUGGCGGUGUUAUAUAUAUACCCACUCUGUGUACCUUCUCCUGUUGCUUCCGCUGGGUGCGUAAUUCGCCCGGCGGAAGGGUAAAAAUAACCUCUGAGUAUUGAUGAAAUCUCUGUCUGAACCGAAUAGAAAGAAAAAUGUUAAAACUUUCAGCAACGGAUCUCUUGGUUCUC